Molecule: ribosomal RNA, 253 nt
Filed under: uncultured bacterium
Lineage: Bacteria
Description: partial 16S ribosomal RNA
Rfam family: Bacterial small subunit ribosomal RNA
Source: RNAcentral
UACGGGGGGGGCAAGCGUUGUUCGGAAUUACUGGGCGUAAAGGGCUCGUAGGUGGCCAACUAAGUCAGACGUGAAAUCCCUCAGCUUAACUGGGGAACUGCGUCUGAUACUGGAUGGCCUGAGUUUGGGAGAGGGAUGCGGAAUUCCAGGUGUAGCGGUGAAAUGCGUAGAUAUCUGGAGGAACACCGGUGGCGAAGGCGGCAUCCUGGACCAACACUGACACUGAGGAGCGAAAGCCAGGGGAGCAAACGGG